Molecule: long non-coding RNA, 4814 nt
Organism: Heterocephalus glaber (naked mole-rat)
Lineage: Eukaryota; Metazoa; Chordata; Mammalia; Rodentia; Bathyergidae
Source: Ensembl
CCCUCUGUCUCUCUCCCUCCCUCCCCGCUAAGACCUCCAGAGGGCAGCGACCCAGAGCUUGGGAGGUGCUGGGCCACACCUGUUGGAUGCGGCUGGGACAGUGCCCCUCCCAGGUGGGCAGAGCCCGCUCCGCUCCGGCGGAACGAGACACGCACUCCAGGAGGCAGAGGGCAGCGCGGCUGGGCCGCGUGGAGGUCCCGCCGCCCCGCCCGCCCGCGGAACCGCCGAGUGUCGGCCGUCGCCGACCGCAGGCUGCAGAAGCGGUUGGGCUGGUGAGCGAGCACACCCACUUGCCCAGCUGCUGAGUCAGGCUGUUCUCGCUCGCGCCCGCCCGCCCGGGACAUUGUGUUCCAGCCCCGGCGCGCUGGCAGCCGGCCCAGGCGCUCACACCAGCCUCCUCGCCCUGUUGGUGCUCGCGGCUUGAGAUCUGUGCGCCGCGUCCCCGAGGUCGCGGCCCUCGGUCCCGCGGCCCCGAGCCUGGGGACGCGGGGGUCCCCUCAAGGCUGCGCACUCACCAGACUCGGGGCCCUUAGACCUCCACUGGUCGCGGAGGCCCCGGCUUGGCGCCGUUGUGGGGGCAGGUGUGGGGGGGCUCCGCUAGGGAGAAGCGACCCCUCGCCCAGGCUGCUGCCGACGAGGCUCCCAAACUCUCGGUGCAGGAGUCUGGAGGAGGCAAGCUGGGGACCCGCCAGUCGCAGACGGGCGCGCGGGGGGGGGGGGGUUCAGUCACGUGGCAACGGAAGCCGCAGUUGAGGGGCCGACUCCAGCGGUCCCCAGGGAGCGUCUCCCCCCUCCCUGAACCUUCACUGAAGCCGGGGCGCGGAGACUCCAGGGGUUCCCAGCGCUGGCAACCCGAGCCAAGCCCUUUGGUACAGCUUGGGAAACCCCGGCAGAACGCUGGGAGCAGGGAGGGUCCAGACACUGGUAGGGUGGGGAAGGACGACCCCAGACUCCCUCCAGAGUCUGACCCUUCCCUUCGUAUAGCCACAAACCCCGAGACUUAUUCGGAGCCGAGAUUUCUCCUGCCCAUCCUUCCGCAGCGCUGGUCCUAAGGGUCCAUGCCCUCCGAACUCCGAGGGGGACAAAGGCUUUACAUGCCAGGGAAGGCUCUGUAGUGGGACGCGCUCCCCGAAAGCCUUGCUUCUCCGACCGGCCCAGCUUCCCAUCUGCCGCCACAUCCCCGCCAGGAGCGCCCUCCUCCGUGCCUGGCCGCCUGUCCAGCUCCUGUUCACCAAGCGCCCUUGAAACAGGGCCAGCCGAAUCGGAUUCCUCUCUCCUCCCAGGCCCAGCACAAUCAGUUUGUACCUUUCCCACGCACAGUGUGUGCCCUGUCUCCUAUUCUAGCUGUCUGUUUACUAGUCUUGUCCUAGCCAGAUUAGAAGGUCCUUGAGGCAGAAACAAAGUCUGCUGCUUCUUUGAGGCCUCUUCCCUGCCCCUCCAAUUCAUCUCACCCAGGCCGCGCCUGGCACCCGAGCUGAUGUUCAAUAAAUAUUGGGUGUAUUGAAAUGAUUUCCUGCCCUCUGGUAGUUGUCAGGCCAGUUGCAGAGACAAACACAGGGUGUGUGGGGUUAAAUAAUAACCGAAGCCAGCAGGUGGGGAGUAUCAAAUGUGGGUGACAAGGGCCGAGGAUUUAGCUCAGUGGUUCUGGCGCCUGCCUUGAAAGCACAAGGUCCCGAGUUUGAUCCCCGGUACCAAACAAACAAAAUAAUAAGUAUGCAAGUUCCCUGACUAUUGGCAUGGAAAAAUAAUUUUGGGGCCAGGGAUUUAGCUCAGUGGUUUCGCCGCCUGCUGCACAAGUACAAGAACCCGAGUUUGAUCCCCAGCACCACCCCCCCAAACUGUGGGUGACAGCUAUGGGGACUCAGAGGGAAGGAGGUGGUGAUUGGGGAGCAAGUUCCCAGGAGGUUCUAGGUCUUGAGCUGACUGUGUAGGAGGAUGGGGAGGGGCCGGGUGGAGGUGACUCAUGGGGGUUGACAUCACCACAAAACAGCCUUCCUGCUGGGUACUUUACAUGCAUUAUCUCUGAUAUUUGGGGCGGGAGGUUUGAGAGGGGGGCAGGGGACAGUGGCCAAGCCUGGCCCACCCAGAGGCAACCAGAGCACAGGGGACAGCCUUGAAUGUCCCUGGGCACUGGCACUGCCUGUUCCCUGGCCCGCCACUCCUACCUGCCACACCCAAGAGGGCCCAGCUCUGCCCAGUUCUGGAUGCACUGCGGUCCCACCCUGGCUAACAACUGGCCCGUGUGACCUCGGGCAAGGCACUUCCUCGUCCUCACCGGUACAGGCUGUGACUCUGGGCAUCAGUGUGAGGCUUGGCACCUCCCCGGAUAGUACCUGGGCUGGUGCAACUGCCUGCCCUCUCCACACACCCUCUGUGUCCUCCCAGCCUAGAGCCCCCGAGAGGAACACUGGGUACAGAGUGUGAACAGGGAUGGCUUCCUGUGGUUGCAGAGGGAGCAGCGGGACUUUCCCUGCAGUGCCUGGGCUGGGGGAGAAGAGGGCCAACCUCCAAGGAACCUCUGCUCUCUUCCCUCCCUCCUCGGUGCUCCCAGCCCUCUAAAAGGCUGGUACAGUUUGUUACGCUGGGGCCGGAAUGUACCGUGUUUCAUAUGGCCUCUGUCCAGUCCUACACUGGCCGCUUUAUAUUUAUACUUCCUGCUCCAGCUGUGGCAUCCUGCUGUCAGUCACCCCUGCUCUCAUCUGCCCACCUCCUGAACGCCCCCAGCAGAUUAUGAAGAGUCUGCAGCCUGGGACUGAAGUUUCUCUGGACCUAGGAGGUUGGUCCUUGUCUCCUUGCUACCUUGUUUGCCCAGCACUUGAGCAAUACUCCUGAGCCCAGCGAGACCAGCGAAGGCUCCUCCUUGGAAGCCACCUCCAGGAGCUGGGCAGAGCAGAGGCCAGCUGCAGGAUGUUCCUGCUCCCAAGCUGCCAGGGACCAAGACAAGCAGGGAGAAGAGAACACGCAGGGACUUGGAGGGAAAUUCCUCCGGCCGUUGGGCCACACCCGCCCUAGAGGACCUCCCGAGCUCUUCGGGCAGAGCGGAAGCCAGACCCAGACAGGGACGCUGAAGUGACAAUCCCCAGCCCUGUGUGGGCCAGGAGCCCCUGAGGGGGAGGGGCCACGGUGCUCUCCCCACCCCAGAGCCAGGCGUGGGUUGCAACAGAGGCUUCUCCAGGGAGGCUUGAGAGGAAGUUCAGCCCAAGCGGGAGCCAAGCCUGGGCCCAGCAGGGAGAGCUGCGGUGGGUACAGGACUGAGGAGGACACCACUGUGCGAAGACUGGCCUCCUCUCACCUGCCCCGUCCUGCACCCCCGGCCCGGAACUUUGUGCCUUCGCCCGCUGCACUCCUACCAGCACGGAAUUCCGAGCCACACCGAGCUCCUCUCAGCCGGCCCCACCUGCGAGUCACGUUCCUGCCUCGCCACGCAGUUAUCCCCUGGGCCUUUGUACCUGCUUUCCUGGCGCCGGGAAUGCCCUUCCCCCAUUGACCCAGCAAGGACCUUGUCACUUUCCAGGUGAGAGGCUUUUCUUGGUCUCGAUGUGCGCACAUUUUAUAGUAGUGCUUACAGUAAUGACUAAAAGCCAACAUUCUGCAGGCACACCACGUGCUGUUCCGACUGCUCUGUGUGUGUGUGUGUGUGUGUGUGUGUGUGUGCGCGCGCGUGUGCACCCAUUACAUUUUUGUCAGCUUAUUUAACUGUCAUAACAACCCUAAUGGGCACUAUUGUUAUCAUCUCCAUCUGACAGAGAGGAAAAUUGAUACACCGAGAGUGGGGUUACCAUUGACAUAGGGGGACAGGUCAAGUAAGCCGGGUUUCCGCACAACCAGCUCAGUGGAAAGGUCUGGGUAGCUAACCACUGCACUGCACGGCCUCUAGCUGUUAGGAGCUUUUACCAAUUUACAUACCUCUGAGAAAGCAGCAUCAGAUAAUGUCUGGUAACUGAGUGAAUUCAUAAAAUGUAAUAGAAUAAAGAAGUAGGGCUUAUCUUCGCUUGUGUAAGAUAUCUGCUAUGUCAACACUAUGUUUUUUUCCUAGAACAUAUAAUAUGUUAAAGAAAAUAAAAUUUGAGAUUAAAAUCCUAUGUAUCUUUUUGCUUUUUAUGUGUAGUGGUGGUGGUGGUAGGGUACUAGGGAUUGAACCCAGGACCUUUGCCCUGAGCUACAUCCCCAGGCCCCUUUCUUUUUCCCAGUACCAGGCACUGAACUCAGGACCUUACACUUUCGAGGCAGGUGCGGCGCCACUGGGCUAAAACCCCAGCCUCCGGGCCCUUUUUUAUUGUUUAUUUUGAGACAGGUCUUGCUAAGUUGCCCAGGCUGGACUUGAACUUUCCAUCCUCCUCCAGAUGUGCACCACCCUGCCUGGCUCCACCUGCUCUCUUUCCCCUGCCCACGUAUACCCAGUAAACUGAAACUGGUCUCUUGGCAGGAGAUUGGCUUUGCCCUGUGCCCACAGGGCCUGGCUGAGUGCUGCUGGGCGUGCACAUGGCCCAGGGCCAGUUCAAUGUGAGCGGAGCCAGGUGCUGAUUUUAGGGCUGGGUCCUGGGGGUAGCAUGCAGCCCUGGUGUUGCCAAGAUUGGGGAAUGCAUGACAGCAUAGGAACAGCCCCACGGUCUCUGGAGCCAGGCUGGGACAGAAUACAGAGUGGGCUUCUUGUGGUGAAGGGGCAGGUGGAGCAGGGACUGGCUCACAAAACAGAGCCUGGAGGCAACGUGAUGGCCACACACAUAGCCCUGGCUCCCCAGGAGGGAUCUAAAAAGCUUGAAGAUGGCCUGAGCCCAGGAGUUUAGAGCCAGCCUGGGCAACACAGUAAAAUC